This is a non-coding RNA of Rattus norvegicus (Norway rat), 2253 nucleotides long. Lineage: Eukaryota; Metazoa; Chordata; Mammalia; Rodentia; Muridae. The record is from RefSeq and is a predicted model, not a curated record.
ACCAGUGCCCUAGUUUCUCUCAGUCUGAGUCUGGCAGUUACAAGCUAAGACAUGUUUUCCCGUCUUCACAAGCGUUUUGGGAGGGGGAACGUCGAUUGUGGAGAGACUAGAGUGAAGGAGUCUAGCCUUUCCUCUCAAAGUAAUGAUGGACAAAGACAGCACUUCUGGGGAAUGUUCAACGCUGGGAGAGAAACAUCAUCCCCUGGAACUGCCCUAAGCGAGAAGCAGGCCAAGAAGGAAAAGGAGAGGCUGAUUAAAGAGCUGCAGCUCAUUACCGAGGAGAGAAAUGACCUGAGAGAUCGCCUGAGGUUUCUGACAGAGAGAUCCAAGAACAACAGGUAUGGAUCCCUCCAAGUGCUUUGUUACAUUCCUGGGUCUGCAAGGUCACCUUCAUCUUCUCCUAUUAAGGUUUUGGGUUCUAGAAAGCUGUGCCUCCCUAUCCACCCUGUGCUAAACCUCACCUCCCAUAUAGAGGAGAUUCAGAACCUGACCCUGAGGAGCGAGAUGGAAAAUGGAUUCAUCUGUUUCCAUUUAUUGAAAAGCAGAACUUGUGGUCUGAAUGAAGAAUUCAGGAAUAAAGUCAGGGAGAGUGAGUGCCCAGUGUGCAUUUGCAAAGCCCUUGACAGCUGGUGGCUUUGCAAGAUUGUACUUGCAGUGAGUUUAUGGUGAGUCUCUGUACUGCUAGGCAGGGCACUGAGUGCUGGAAGAUCCAGGCAGCAGCCUGAGGGGCCUGGUCCCAAACUGUUCAUCUCAAUGCUUGAGUAGAAGGUCUCAGGCUCAGGCCUGUUUGAUAUUGUCUGUGUGUCUUGCCCUCUGAGACAGCAAUGGUGCAUGCAUUUCUCCUGGUUCUCACAGUGCUCUCUGUUUCCAUAUUUCUCUUUCUCUUUCUCUUACUCUGUUUACAUUGCUCUUUUUUGUGGAUAUGUCUCAGUCUGUGAGUCUGUGUGUGCAUACAUCCAAAUGCAUACGGACAACUUUUGUAUGUUUAUAUUUCCCUCCACACUUGGAAUCUAGGGGUCUACGUCUUGGCCUGAGUAUUUACCUGUAACACUUUCAUGGUCAUGUGAAUGCUUUGUUCUGGGAGCCCCACUGUCAACAACACAGUUCUUUGCCUAUGUGGACACGUUUGUCUGUUUAUUUUUAUUCUUUGUGCAGAUUAUAAUUUUGUGUUGAUAUACGGUCUGUUAUCAAAACAGGAGAAAAGAAAUCACAGGUUUCUGGCUGUGUUGGGGUGGGGGAGCAUGGAGAGGUGUGGCCUAGGCUCUUGAUAGCUUAACUGGCUUGACUGCAGAUUUCCUCUUGAUUGAACAAGGGAGCCAGGGAACCCUCCCUCUGGAUGCCAAGAUUCUGGUGUCCUGGACGCAGAAAAACAGGUUUCUGAAGCUGAAGAAGACCCCAAUAUGUAGAAUUCAGAAGGUGUCCUUCCAAGACUGGGGUAGUACAGGACCCACCCCGAGUUCAUAUAUUCCUAAAUGCUGAUGUUCAUAGGAUUCUAUCAUUUGGGGCCAGGCCACACUUCAGGCCAAAUCCAUAUUAUGAAGACCUGGAGAGAAUGGAGGAGGUGGUCAUGUCAAUUCUGCACAACUUAGAGAUGGAGAACACUGAGAUCCAUGAGAACAGCCAUAAGCUGAAGAAGGAGAUUACCUUCUCUAGAAACCUGCUCAGCCAGCUCCUGAUGGAGAACACAUGUAGGAAGAAGUUGGUCCCACUGAAGCAGGAGAGCAAGGAGGGACAUCUUCAGUGUGCACUGAACCAGAAAUAUUUGGUUGCCUUCAACAAGAAAGAUAAAGACCAGCAACGUCCAGAUCCAGCAUCAUCAGGUCUCAGAAAGUGCAAGAGAGCUGGAAUUGGACACACCCCAGUAAGAGAGCUUCCUGAAGAAUGAGUUGCUUUCUCAGGAGUCCCUGAUGACAAACAUCCUGAAUGGUAACAACAUUUUUUGGAUGAGUAUUCUUCCUCAGAGUUAAUUUGUCAUUUCUUAGAGACCCUCAAUUUAUAUAACACUAAGCCAGCCUGACUGAUUGAGGUCUUACUCACUUUCUUUUUCAGAAAACAGCACUUGAGAGACAACUUGGGGGACUGCCUUUCAUUAUGUGUGCUAGAGGAGAAACAGCAAUACGUCUAUGCUUCUAAAUGUUCGUUAAGAAUAUGCUGUUUAGAAAUAUUUUUGUUUUGAUUUUCAUUGAAGUUUUCUUUUUGUUGUUUCAUAUUUAUAUGUUCUUGUUACUAUUUUUCACUUUGAAAUAUUUUUAA